AAAAAAAAUGGUGUAUAUGAUAGACACUUAGCACAGUUCAUGACAUUUAUUGAGGAAACAUUGCACCACCAGUGGCUUCUUUAGAGGUCACUUGUGAAAUAUUUCUUCAAUAAAUAUCGAACUGUGUGUGGGUCUUCAUCUACAUGCUGUCAGUAUUGCCAUAUCUGUUCUCCACCUGACAGUGUAUAUUGUUUAGUAGACCUCUGGCUUUAGGUUCAGUGUUCUCUCCCCCCUCCCUCCCCUUUUUCCCUAAGAAACUUAGCAGAUACUUUGAAGUGUCCUUAUGUGCUAGUCAAUAUCUUCGAUAACUAUUUAUUCUAAAACUGCUGUAUUGUAAUGAGAAAAAUUAAGUGUUUGAAACAUGCUAUCAAACUAUGUCUUAGAACAAAAAUUUCUGUUCUGUUUUAGAGUAACAGUAUGCAAGAACAUUUUUCAUAAUUGUCAAAUGAUCUGCUCCAUGACAUUCUGAAACCACCACCUUAAAGUUAGAAUCCAAAGAAUAUGUUUUGUUCUUCCUGCUUGUUGUGCAUAUGCAGUCAAACAACAACACUCUAGUGCUUCAGGUCUUCAAGCAUUACUUAACAUCCACUUUUUGAGGACACAUUAAAAAUAUCUGUACUGUACAUGAAAAAUAAGAAAAUUACCAAAUGAUAAAAUGUUCUUCGUUAAUGCUUAUGUAAACUGUCCUUUAGCAAAUUUCGCUUUAGAGUACAGUAUCUAUUUGCAGUAGACAUUGAACAUAUGAGUCAGCACUGAGUGACCCAUGUGAGUUUAGCACUGUUUUUGAGUAAAUAAUGAUGAAAGCAUCAAAGCAUUAUGAUAAGUUGAAGGGCAUUAUGAAACUAGUGACUAGAAUAUUGAGACUGGCAUGCAGGUACCUAUAUCGAAGCUCUUCUCUGAAUUUUUAAUUUUCAUCACCAACUACAUAGUAACAAUAGUAUAUGAUUUCUUCACUAGAAGUGAUGUGAAGUUACUUAUAAUGGAUACACACUUCCAGUGUUUUUUUUUUUUUUUUUUUUUUUUUUUUUUUGUCAACCGAUUUGUCAUUAUUCUUAUCCCAGCCACCAGGGAAGGUUCCUUGAUGCUUGUCAUGGAGUCUUGAGCCAAGAAAUUGGAGCUAGCCUCAAAUCUGAUUUCCUCAUAUUUUCCAGACAAUAUGACCAUUACAUGUUAAGUGCUUCCCUUUGGAUAUAGUAAAAAUAAUACUCUUUUCAAAUGUGUCACAUUCUGCAGUAUCAUAUUUUUUAAUGCCUCUCGCCUUUGAUCUCUGCUUCGAGAUGGAAUUGCAAAAUCGUAAUCAGUACUAUACCUGUAUCUUGAGCAACAAUGCUUCCAGCCCAUAAUUCAUGCGAAGUGUUAUUGAAUAUAGAAGUAUGUACUAACCUCAUCUUUUGAUUGUGCCAUAAUGUCUAUUAUUUUUUAAUAUUGAAUGAUUAUGAAACUUCAUAGAAACCUUUUUUUAAACUGUAGAAAGCUAUUUUUUUAAUGGUGGCCAUCUCCCACUAAAUAAAAAAGUAAACUUAUUCAAUAGCUCUCUUGCCAGAAGUGCAUAGACAUCAUAAUUCAAAUGACCCUCUAAAUUGCAGCAUCCCUACCCCUUCUUCAGAGUGCAGGCACUGCAUUUAUCACCUCCAGGGCUCAGGUCUGGCUAACUGGUUUUCCAGACUUCAUAAAUGUUACUCUGCUCACACUCCAGCAUCCCAUCAAGCCAUAAGUCAAUUAUCUUUACUCAAUCUGAUUUAACACGCUCACAACAAGUAUGCACCCCAACCCUUAGACAUGAGAGUUUUUAGUAUUUAAUACCUAGAUAAGGAAUGUACAGUUAGGUGACAUAUACUAUUAUGUAACAUCUCAACAUUUUCACUUUCAGGUUUCUUACGUUUAUCUUAAUUUACAUUGAUUCCUAGGGUCACCUCCCCCUCAACUCAAGUCGUAGGCCUGGCCCGUGUCUUGUAGCUUGAUUGCUAGCGCACUCAGCUUUCACAGUGAGGUUCAGGGGUUGAUCCCAGUAUGGGUAGAAACAUUAGGACGUGUUUCCUCAAGGUACCUGCUGUCUAUGUUUACCUUUCAGUAAAAUAGAUUCCUGGGUGUUAGUUGACUGGUGUGGGUUGCAUCCUGGGGACAAAAUUGACCUAGUUUGCUCUGCAUAACAAGAAGUUUUCUAUACAGAAUGCCACUGAUAUAAGCUAUGCCUGUGUACCUUGUACAUGUACUUGUAGAAAUAAAGAUUAUUAUUAUUAAUUUUUACAUUUUGCAUUCAGCUUAUAUACAAUCAGUGACUUAAAAAAUAUAGUACUUAAGAAGUUAUUUUUUGGGGGCUUUAUAUCUUACACAGUUGUUCUGGUAUCAUUACACUCCAUCAUAAGGUGAGUUAUACUUACUGCGCUUCAUUUUCUUAAGUCUACCUUAUUUAUUGAAUUUCUCUUCUCUUAAGCACUUAGGCAUGAGUAGGUCCAGCACUACCACUGGCAUUGUACAUACUCAUAUCUGGUAAAAAGCUUUCUGUCAUGAUAUUUACAUAUGUAUUUCACUUACCGCUGUCACUAGUAUGAACUGUAAGUGUUGAUAUAUAGUAAUAUCUAAGUAGACACUUUAGUUUAUUAACCCUUUCAGGGUUUUCGACGUACUAGUACAGCUUACGCACCAGGGUUAUUGACGUACUAGUACGCCUAAAUUCUAGUGCCUUCAAAUCUAGCGAGAAAAAACUGGUAGGCCUACAUAUGAAAGAAUGGGUCUAUGUGGUCAGUGUGCGUAGUAUAAAAAUAAUCCUGUAGCACACAGUGCGUAAUGAGAAAAAAAAAAACUUUGACCGUAUUUUUGGACUAAAACAGCGACUUUGCACUGUAUUUUCGUAUGGUAUUUAUGGUAUUUUGACUGGUUUCACAAUGAAAAGUACCUUGAAAUUGAGCUCAAAGUAGCAGAAAUGUUCGAUUUUGACCAAAGUUCAAAAGUAAACAAAUCAUGCCAAGCGUCCAAUACAUGUCACCUGGUGAGUCUAAUAUUCUUACCCAAGUGCGCUGAUAUUAUUUGUACCAUUUCUACACUAAUGCAGUAGUCUGCAUAACAGUAAAUCUUCUAUUUUUUGUAAGAAUAAAAAUUCAAAGUGGAAAGCAAAAGAAAUAUAAGAGGGGCCUGGGGAUGUGACUAAUGAACAGAAAACUUGUUAUUUUAGUGCCAGGAAUGUCUUUCUUGUUUAUUCUGGACCCUAUUUGGAAAUUGGCAUCUUCUGAAAUUUGUGUGAAAUUGGCAAAAUUGCCAAUUUCUAACCACUUUACAGUAUUGGAUAGUUGAAAUUGGUAAAUGGGUGGUUUCCUUGUACUUAUUCGAUAGAAAAAAAUGGAGUUCUAGCGAAAUAAAUAUGAUUUUUGUCAACUAGUAUACAGGAAUUGGCCAAAAAUAAGGGCUCAAAGUGGGCGGAAUCGCGGAUGCGUAAACAUUGGCGAGACCGCUAACUUCGCGAGAGCAUAAUUCCGUAAGUUUUCCAUCAAAUUUCAUACUUUUGGUGUCAUUAUGAUUGGGAAAAGAUUCUCUAUCAUUUCAUAAGAUUUUUUUUUUUUUUUUUUCCGAAAAUUUUUCGACCCUGAGAACAAGUUUAGGAGAGGGCCUCUCGACCCUGAAGGGUUAAGUUCAAAAUCGAUGUGUAAAACAAUUUUAAAAAUAAUAUGUUUUCAUGUGUAAACAAAACCCAGCUGAGUAGUGUGGAUGGGUGAUGGGGAGCAUGGGAGCAAUGGUAAUUAACCAAGGUGCCAAGAUUAUAAAAUAUUAGUAUGCAUUACUUCUACUCUUUAUCCUAAAACUGAGUUGUGCACUACUAUGUCACUAGUGGGUGAAUGGCCAUUCAGAAAACAAUAACUAAGCACCACAAACCAAAUAAGAAUAAGCACUUUCAGUUCUUUCAUGUAUGGAAUAAUGAUAUUUGUUUUAUACUGUAUUAUAUUAUAAUCCACUGUCAUCGGGCAUGUCAUACAGUUGUAAGUUGAAUCUUUUUCAGUAAGGUUUUGAUAAAACUGUUUUUAUAUGCAGUGGUGCUUGAAGAUCAUUUGUACAAGAUGUUUCUCUUAGAACUGCUCAACAGUUGUGAUAGAAAGUCUUCCCUCAAAUAUGUAUGGUACAGUAUUAUAUCACAGGUAACAAGUGUAUGUUACAUUCACUAUUGCUAGAUCAUUUCUAGAUAGUUAAAGUAUUUUUUGCUCUCUGAAAAGGCUGUUAACAUACUGUACAGUAUUUUUUUUUUUUUCUUAUAGCUGAUAUUAAUUUUUUAAAAUAGUAUAGUGAUAUUUUUAACACCAGAUAUCUCCCACCAAAUUAGUGUUACCUGAAAUAGAAGAAACUCUUUCAGUGUCAUUCAUACACUCAGUCUUCCCAGAAGGGUGCUGACAUCACAGCUCAGAUGACCUAAACUGCAACCACCCCUCCUUCAGAGUGCAAUGCACUGUCCUUCCCACCACCACCUCUCCUUCAGAUUGCAGACACUGUACUUCCCAUUUCCAGGACUCAAAUCCAGGUAACCAGUUUCACCUGAAUCCUUUCAUAAAUGUUACCCUUGCUCACACUCCAACAGCAUGUCAAAUCAUAAUAAUCAUUUGUCUCUACUUACUCUUAUCUAACCUAAGCCUAUGUGUACUUGCCUAUUUGCAGGAAUAAAUUCUCAGGUCCUGGCCCUGCCUCUUAAAUUGUGUAUAUGUACCCAGGUAUGAUUGGAGGGUAGGAGUAAAGGAGGCUUUGACUCUUAGAGGCAUGAGCACCCAGCAGACUUCUAUGAAUGUGUGUGAUAGGAUUAUUAUUAUUAUAGUAAUCAUAACUCACAAGGUAAUAUGGCAUGAGUGUGAUUGGAGACAAGUGUUUUGUAAUGGACAUGCUCUUAGUGUGAGCAAGGUAACCUAUAAAGGUAUUCAGGAAUAAAAAGAGCUGAACUUUAGUCCUGGAGAAGGUAUAUUACAGUAAAAAUGUCUUAUGUGAUUUCCUAUUGUGAAGCUUUAUAUUUUAUAUAAGAAUUGCCAUUAAAUUUACUCCUACAA
Cherax quadricarinatus is the source of this 5018-nucleotide non-coding RNA. Lineage: Eukaryota; Metazoa; Arthropoda; Malacostraca; Decapoda; Parastacidae. The record is from RefSeq and is a predicted model, not a curated record.